AAGUCGUAACAAGGUCUCCGUUGGUGAACCAGCGGAGGGAUCAUUACCGAGAAUCUCUUCUCAACCAUGGCGAACGUACCCCCCUAAAACGACGUCCCUUCGGCGGAUCGGCCCCUGUGGCUGCGCCGCCGUAGGGCGUACGCAACCCUGUAUUUUACUGGCAUCUUCUGAGUUUGAUUUUCUAAAUCAGUCAAAACUUUCAACAACGGAUCUCUUGGCUCUG
RNAcentral lists this unclassified non-coding RNA (223 nucleotides) under fungal sp. RNAcentral's name for it is "partial internal transcribed spacer region". The stretch from base 1 to 46 matches the Rfam family "Eukaryotic small subunit ribosomal RNA", at positions 1786 to 1831 of the family's 1831-position model. The record is from RNAcentral. Lineage: Eukaryota; Fungi. RNAcentral also lists the same sequence under 1 other name.